CUCCAGGUGGAGGUCUCUCCUGAAGCCAGGGUCUGAGAGGCUAUGGGGCGCCAUCAAGCUUGGGGGACAAGCCCAGAAACUCACAGCCAAAUUUAGGGUCACUUUACUCCUUCCAUGAGCUCCGCCAGUGCCUCAGUUCCCAGUAGCCCCUUUCAUUCCUUUGUUCAAAUAAUGGGCUCCUUGAUCAUUCUGCUCUGCCUCACUCCUGUAUGGCAUCGGCAUUGGUAUUUGGGACUGAGGAGUGGGAAAACAGAGCAGUAUUCUGCCUGCAUGUGUUCCUGUAGGCCAGAAGAGGACACCAGAUCUCACUAUAGAUGGUUGAAUAGAAUUGAACUCAGGACCUUUGGAAGAAUAGCCUGUGCUUUUAACCUCUGAGCCAUCUCUCCAGCCCAAUAAUUGAAAGAUACCAGCUAAGUAUUCAGAGGCAACAUCCAGAGAUGGAACUGGACACAAGAUGCCCAGAAGCCUGAGAUAAAUUUGAAACAUCUUCUACAUGAACACGAUCCUGAAAGGUGAGCUUUCCGGAAGAAUGAAGCGAGCACACCCAUCAUGUUGAUCUCUGACCUCUGUAUACACAUGUGCAUGCACACAAACAUAAAUAAAAGCCAAA
This is a long non-coding RNA of Meriones unguiculatus (Mongolian gerbil), 610 nucleotides long. RefSeq lists it as uncharacterized. The record is from RefSeq and is a predicted model, not a curated record. The transcript is spliced from 3 exons. Lineage: Eukaryota; Metazoa; Chordata; Mammalia; Rodentia; Muridae.